AGAAUCUUCACUCAGCCUUUAAUAUCGUAUUUGGCAGUCAGUGAAGUCACAAGGAGAGAGAAGAAAUGGGAGGGCCGGUGACGGUGGCUACUGCCCAUAGAUAGCCGUGCUAGGAAGCUGGGAAUGUCCUGUGCCCACCACCUCUCACCCACUAUUCUGUCACUCGUCAACUAGCAGAGACUAGGAAAGAAUUAAAUGGAAGUGAUGCUGACCCAGAGAAGAUGAUGAGAACAUGGAGCAGAGGAGCCAGAACUGACCAUAUGGGCCUAGUUCUUCUGUACUAUAAGAAGGUAGCUAAAGCCAGUGGAAGUCAAUAUUCAAUACAAGUUUAAAUAAACCCACAACAUCAAAGCAAAGCCUACAUUAUCAGCAUCUAACUUUCAAUGAUUUGGGGGAACAUUUAUCAAGCAUCCACUAAGCCCUGUUUAGAUACUGGGCAUAUCCCAAUGAACAACACAAAGCCCAUAUCAUCAUAAAGCUUCCAUCAUACAUGACUCAACCUAAGCACUAGACUCUUGGAGGGCAGCCAACCUUCACCAGACAAGGCAAGAUUCCCCAUGACACCAAGGACUCCAGUCAGAAUCCACAGUAUAUUGGCAUCCACUUUCCCUAUCUCAGCAACGAAGAAUGACCACUGCUUCUUCUGAGGAGCAGAGUUCGGUUCCCAGCACCCUCAUCUGGUAGCCACAGCUGCCUGUAACUCCAGCUCCAAGGCGAUCUGACACCUCAGGCCUCUGCAGGCAGCUGCAUUCACACACACACACACACACACACACACACACACACACACACACACCACUUUAAAAUAAAAUAAAGGAAUCAUUAAAAAAAAAAAAAAAAGCUUAGUUUCUUGAUACCCCCAAAUAGUUCAAUGUUGAUGCAAGGACAAAGGGUCCUGUUUCUUCCACUCUAAAACUACGAAGCCAGACCCAAACUCCUCAGGCACUGUGUUCCCUGUCUCAUUUUGUCAUGCCCCUCUGCAUGGAAAUCAAAGAGGAGGCAAGAGGUCUAUUGCUCUGUACAUCCAACCACAGCAUGGCAGGUGCUGAAGUCAAAACCAGAACCUUAAUAAUCUGGGAAAGCCUUGCUCUCCCAGAGGCUGCAUCUUUGAACAUGGGCUUACUCACUGCAUCGGAUACGUUACCAGGAAUUGUCAGUUCUCUCUGAUAUCAGCCUGCUUUUCGCUACUCCCCUUUCCUCAGUACACUUCAACAGCCAGAAGCAGCAAGCUUCGCCAUGCCGCCAAGCCUCUGCACAUGUUCUCUCCUCAUAUCACAGUUGCCUCACACACCUAUGGAUCCCAAAUAGGGCUUAAAAUUCUUCCUGGUUUAAGUUCUUUGAUUGUGCUAAUGGCCCCAGCACAUCGCUUUUCGCCAAGUUCCUUGGCAUGUCUUCUGCUCCACCCAAUUCUGGCUCCGGCUUGGCACCUUGCUUUGGCUGUGGGUUGUUAACAGAUAGAAUUGAACAGAGGCUUCUAAUGCUGCUUGCACAAUACCGCUUGCACGCCUGUGCCUCGACAAGAACACUUGUGGGCUAGCCUGACGAUGGGUUGGGAGCAGAGUUCACUAAUGACAGACAUUCCAGCCAAGCCGAUGCUCGGUCAGCUAACGGUGAACCAGUCCACAGUCCUGGAUGUGUACCCUGUCAGAAUGAGCAGAGCUGCCUGGCUAACUCACAACCCAAAGCAGCCACACCCAUCCCUGGGCAGACGCAGAACUAAAUAAGGGUUCAAGCUAGGCUGGACAUGGUGGCACAAACCUGUAAUCUGAGCACUUAAGAGAUGUUGUCAAGAGAGUUGCUGAGAAUUCAAGGCCAGCAUAAGCUACAUAGCAAGACCUUGACCCCCAAACACUGAAGAAACAACACGAACUUAGAAAAGGGUUAACAGGAUGGCAUAACAAGUGAGCAGGGUAUGUGCUGUUAAACCCGUCAACUUGGGUUUAAUCUCCAGAGUCCGUAAGGUGAAAUGAGAGAGCAAACUCUCACAGGUUGUCUUCAGACUUCCAUACAGUCGCCAUAUACACAAACAACCACAAACCAAAUAAAUGUACUAAUUAAAAAAAAAAAACAGAUAAAAAUAUAGUAUUUCAUAAAACAUGAACCCAAGCAACGUUCAAAUUCCACUGUCCAUAUAUAUUGUUUUACUGAAACAGUCAUGCUUAUUUAUUUAUAUAGUGUCUGGGGAGGCUUUUGUGCUUCAGAGAAAGAGUCUGGAGAUGAUCUGAGAGGACUUUGUGAGCUACUGAAUGGUUACUUGUCUUAGCCAGCGACAAUCGGUAGAUUAUUGACCCAGCAUUCCUGUAGGGAAAUUCGCUGACACGUCUCAUCUGAGAGCUCAAGUCCCCUGGAGAAAGUGCUGGGGUGGGGGUGGGGGGCGUCCGGAAUGAGGUCAGGCCAAAGGCAGCCUGCUCUACUUCCCCACUACGGGCGUGGACCUUGAGCUGGGUCAGUGGCUGGGCCACGGGCUGGAAUGGUGGACACCGGUAUGCCAAUCGUACUGUAUCCUUAGGUAGUUCCCAUGUGAAGAGCAGACAGCAUGAGCCACUCUGCUGCAGCGACUCUGUAACAUAUUUUCGAUGAGUUUCAUCCACCCCCAAAUGCAUACUCAGAGGUCAGUUUGCAUUGGAGCAGAGAUAGAAAGACGGCUGCUGAAAGAUAAAACCCAGACAGUAUUUACCUAGAUUAAUUUGGUUAUGUUUACGCAGCGAGGCUAAAAUUUAAUUCCCACCCUGGAGUCUACUGGUAGAAACUCAGCAGGAUCAUGGUAUCAGUUAAUAAA
RNAcentral lists this long non-coding RNA (2779 nucleotides) under Mus pahari (shrew mouse). RNAcentral's name for it is "lncRNA (MGP_PahariEiJ_G0005691.1)". The record is from RNAcentral. Lineage: Eukaryota; Metazoa; Chordata; Mammalia; Rodentia; Muridae.